This 730-nucleotide ribosomal RNA is filed under the name bacterium SCSIO13005. RNAcentral describes it as "bacterial SSU rRNA". It matches the Rfam family "Bacterial small subunit ribosomal RNA", at positions 78 to 822 of the family's 1533-position model. The record is from RNAcentral.
UUGCACCGGGUGGAUGAGUGGCGAACGGGUGAGUAACACGUGAGUAACCUGCCCCUGACUUCGGGAUAAGCCCGGGAAACUGGGUCUAAUACCGGAUACGACCGCCGGACGCAUGUCUGGUGGUGGAAAGUUUUUUCGGUUGGGGAUGGGCUCGCGGCCUAUCAGUUUGUUGGUGAGGUAAUGGCUCACCAAGACGACGACGGGUAGCCGGCCUGAGAGGGCGACCGGCCACACUGGGACUGAGACACGGCCCAGACUCCUACGGGAGGCAGCAGUGGGGAAUAUUGCACAAUGGGGGAAACCCUGAUGCAGCGACGCAGCGUGCGGGAUGACGGCCUUCGGGUUGUAAACCGCUUUCAGCAGGGAAGAAGCGCAAGUGACGGUACCUGCAGAAGAAGUACCGGCUAACUACGUGCCAGCAGCCGCGGUAAUACGUAGGGUACGAGCGUUGUCCGGAAUUAUUGGGCGUAAAGAGCUCGUAGGUGGUUGGUCACGUCUGCUGUGGAAACGCAACGCUUAACGUUGCGCGUGCAGUGGGUACGGGCUGACUAGAGUGCAGUAGGGGAGUCUGGAAUUCCUGGUGUAGCGGUGAAAUGCGCAGAUAUCAGGAGGAACACCGGUGGCGAAGGCGGGACUCUGGGCUGUAACUGACACUGAGGAGCGAAAGCAUGGGGAGCGAACAGGAUUAGAUACCCUGGUAGUCCAUGCCGUAAACGUUGGGCACUAGGUG